AAUCACUGGACGAGGAGCCACCUCCUCCUU
RNAcentral lists this small RNA (30 nucleotides) under Bombyx mori (domestic silkworm). RNAcentral's name for it is "ovarian small RNA-4318". Lineage: Eukaryota; Metazoa; Arthropoda; Insecta; Lepidoptera; Bombycidae. The record is from RNAcentral.